RNAcentral lists this transfer RNA (66 nucleotides) under Thalamita crenata. RNAcentral's name for it is "tRNA-Ser". Lineage: Eukaryota; Metazoa; Arthropoda; Malacostraca; Decapoda; Portunidae. The record is from RNAcentral.
GAUUGUUUAGUUUAUAUAAAAUAGAUAUUUUGAAAGUAUCAGAAAAGAAAAAUUUCUUAAUAAUCU